AUUGAACGCUGGCGGCAGGCCUAACACAUGCAAGUCGAGCGGAUGAAGGGAGCUUGCUCCUGGAUUCAGCGGCGGACGGGUGAGUAAUGCCUAGGAAUCUGCCUGGUAGUGGGGGAUAACGUCCGGAAACGGGCGCUAAUACCGCAUACGUCCUGAGGGAGAAAGUGGGGGAUCUUCGGACCUCACGCUAUCAGAUGAGCCUAGGUCGGAUUAGCUAGUUGGUGGGGUAAAGGCCUACCAAGGCGACGAUCCGUAACUGGUCUGAGAGGAUGAUCAGUCACACUGGAACUGAGACACGGUCCAGACUCCUACGGGAGGCAGCAGUGGGGAAUAUUGGACAAAGGGCGAAAGCCUGAUCCAGCCAUGCCGCGUGUGUGAAGAAGAUCUUCGGAUUGUAAAGCACUUUAAGUUGGGAGGAAGGGCAGUAAAUUAAUACCUUGCUGUUUUGACGUUACCAACAGAAUAAGCACCGGCUAACUUCGUG
This 484-nucleotide ribosomal RNA is filed under the name uncultured bacterium. RNAcentral describes it as "partial 16S ribosomal RNA". It matches the Rfam family "Bacterial small subunit ribosomal RNA", at positions 30 to 507 of the family's 1533-position model. The record is from RNAcentral.